Molecule: unclassified non-coding RNA, 314 nt
Filed under: plant metagenome
Description: partial contains 5.8S ribosomal RNA, internal transcribed spacer 2, and large subunit ribosomal RNA
Rfam family: 5.8S ribosomal RNA (bases 1-104)
Source: RNAcentral
AAAUGCGAUAACUAGUGUGAAUUGCAGAAUUCCGUGAAUCAUCGAGUCUUUGAACGCACAUUGCGCCCCCUGGUAUUCCGGGGGGCAUGCCUGUCCGAGCGUCAUUGCUGCCCAUCAAGCACGGCUUGUGUGUUGGGUCGUCGUCCCCUCUCCGGGGGGACGGGCCCCAAAGGCAGCGGCGGCACCGCGUCCGAUCCUCGAGCGUAUGGGGCUUUGUCACCCGCUCUGUAGGCCCGGCCGGCGCUUGCCGAACGCAAAUCAAUCUUUUUCCAGGUUGACCUCGGAUCAGGUAGGGAUACCCGCUGAACUUAAGC